GUGCACAUGAUGCUACCUUGCGCUCCACAGAGGCAGAGGAUGUGUUGUUUUUGCCUUUUUGUCACCAGUGCCUGGUCUUUGUUAUGUGAAAUGGAUCUCAGGGAGGGAGAAAAGGGACAUGGAGAAAUCAAGAGCAAUUGCGAGGAGAGUGAUCUGACCCUUACGGCACUAUGGAAUUGGGAGCUGCUAUUUUUAUUAUUAUCCAACUUCUGCUUGGAGACCUCCAGUGGCAGGAAGCUCACUAUUUCUCCAGCCAGUCUCCUGUACUGUAGAACAGCUCUCAUUGUUAGGAAGUCUCUUCUUAUUUUGAGCCGAAACCUGAUUCCCUCUAAUUUCUCCUUGUUUUUCUUCCUGUCCCCUUUAGUCACCCAGAGUAAGUGGCACCUCCUCCCUCCCACCCUGGCUGUGCAGAUUACAGAAUCAAGGAUUUCCAGUUGGAAGCACCUCUGAGAUUAUCCUGUGACUAGAUUCUAGUCCACCCCCUUCCUUUUCCGGAGCAGGAAAUUGCUGCAGUUACCAUCAAGUCAUUUAAACUCAUCUAGAAAGCACUAGAGCCAAAAUUUGGACCCAGGGCUUGAACCCAAUACCCAAAUCCAGUGCUUCCAAAUGCAAAUCUUCCAUCAUUCCUCCUCCUCUGACCGAACCCCCCUCAGCCUUCUCUUCUCUGAGAUGAACAGUCCCAGGUUCUUCUCAGAUGACAUGGCUUGCCCCUCUCCCACUCUCUUCCCUCCCUUUACUUCCGUUAGAGGGCCAGCUCUAACAGGGCUGCUCUUCCAGGAGCCCUGGCCCCAGCUAGGGCCUCUAUCGGAGGCUGUGGGUGUGAGAAACCUCCCUGGCUGCAAGUACAUCAUUGCUACAUCCUUCCUGGGCUCUAAUGACAUCUCGGUAAUAGGCAGAAAACGAGGCAAUGGGUGCAAAAAGCUAGUGUUUACAGUACACCAGGAAGGUAUACAGGAAAAUAGAGCAGCUUGUUACACUUAGCCCUCAAUAAAAAAUCUUCUAAGUGCCUAAUUAACA
RNAcentral lists this long non-coding RNA (1017 nucleotides) under Monodelphis domestica (gray short-tailed opossum). RNAcentral's name for it is "lncRNA (ENSMODG00000047755.1)". The record is from RNAcentral. Lineage: Eukaryota; Metazoa; Chordata; Mammalia; Didelphimorphia; Didelphidae.